ACGCUGGCGGCGUGCCUAAUACAUGCAAGUAGGACGCACAGUCUAUACCGUAGCUUGCUACACCAUAGGCUGUGAGUUGCGAACGGGUGAGUAACGCGUAGGUAACCUGCCUAUUAGAGGGGGAUAACUAUUGGAAACGAUAGCUAAUACCGCAUAACAGUAUGUAACACAUGUUAGAUGCUUGAAAGAUGCAAUUGCAUCGCUAGUAGAUGGACCUGCGUUGUAUUAGCUAGUAGGUAGGGUAAAGGCCUACCUAGGCAACGAUACAUAGCCGACCUGAGAGGGUGAUCGGCCACACUGGGACUGAGACACGGCCCAGACUCCUACGGGAGGCAGCAGUAGGGAAUCUUCGGCAAUGGGGGGAACCCUGACCGAGCAACGCCGCGUGAGUGAAGAAGGUUUUCGGAUCGUAAAGCUCUGUUGUUAAGGAAGAACGAGUGUGAGAAUGGAAAGUUCAUACUGUGACGGUACUUAACCAGAAAGGGACGGCUAACUACGUGCCAGCAGCCGCGGUAAUACGUAGGUCCCGAGCGUUGUCCGGAUUUAUUGGGCGUAAAGCGAGCGCAGGCGGUUAGAAAAGUCUGAAGUGAAAGGCAGUGGCUCAACCAUUGUAGGCUUUGGAAACUGUUUAACUUGAGUGCAGAAGGGGAGAGUGGAAUUCCAUGUGUAGCGGUGAAAUGCGUAGAUAUAUGGAGGAACACCGGUGGCGAAAGCGGCUCUCUGGUCUGUAACUGACGCUGAGGCUCGAAAGCGUGGGGAGCGAACAGGAUUAGAUACCCUGGUAGUCCACGCCGUAAACGAUGAGUGCUAGGUGUUGGGUCCUUUCCGGGGCUCAGUGCCGCAGCUAACGCAUUAAGCACUCCGCCUGGGGAGUACGACCGCAAGGUUGAAACUCAAAGGAAUUGACGGG
Molecule: ribosomal RNA, 910 nt
Filed under: uncultured bacterium
Lineage: Bacteria
Description: bacterial SSU rRNA
Rfam family: Bacterial small subunit ribosomal RNA
Source: RNAcentral